This 650-nucleotide ribosomal RNA is filed under the name uncultured bacterium. RNAcentral's name for it is "bacterial SSU rRNA". It matches the Rfam family "Bacterial small subunit ribosomal RNA", at positions 56 to 690 of the family's 1533-position model. The record is from RNAcentral.
UGCAGUCGAGCGAACAGAAGGGAGCUUGCUCCCGGAUGUUAGCGGCGGACGGGUGAGUAACACGUGGGUAACCUGCCUGUAAGACUGGGAUAACUCCGGGAAACCGGAGCUAAUACCGGAUAGUUCCUUGAACCGCAUGGUUCAAGGAUGAAAGACGGUUUCGGCUGUCACUUACAGAUGGACCCGCGGCGCAUUAGCUAGUUGGUGGGGUAAUGGCUCACCAAGGCGACGAUGCGUAGCCGACCUGAGAGGGUGAUCGGCCACACUGGGACUGAGACACGGCCCAGACUCCUACGGGAGGCAGCAGUAGGGAAUCUUCCGCAAUGGACGAAAGUCUGACGGAGCAACGCCGCGUGAGUGAUGAAGGUUUUCGGAUCGUAAAGCUCUGUUGUUAGGGAAGAACAAGUGCGAGAGUAACUGCUCGCACCUUGACGGUACCUAACCAGAAAGCCACGGCUAACUACGUGCCAGCAGCCGCGGUAAUACGUAGGUGGCAAGCGUUGUCCGGAAUUAUUGGGCGUAAAGGGCUCGCAGGCGGUUUCUUAAGUCUGAUGUGAAAGCCCCCGGCUCAACCGGGGAGGGUCAUUGGAAACUGGGAAACUUGAGUGCAGAAGAGGAGAGUGGAAUUCCACGUGUAGCGGUGAAAUGCG